UACGAAGGGGGCUAGCGUUGCUCGGAAUCACUGGGCGUAGAGGGUGCGUAGGCGGGUCUUUAAGUCAGGGGUGAAAUCCUGGAGCUCAACUCCAGAACUGCCUUUGAUACUGAGGAUCUUGAGUCCGGGAGAGGUGAGUGGAACUGCGAGUGUAGAGGUGAAAUUCGUAGAUAUUCGCAAGAACACCAGUGGCGAAGGCGGCUCACUGGCCCGGUACUGACGCUGAGGCACGAAAGCGUGGGGAGCAAACAGG
Molecule: ribosomal RNA, 253 nt
Filed under: uncultured bacterium
Lineage: Bacteria
Description: partial 16S ribosomal RNA
Rfam family: Bacterial small subunit ribosomal RNA
Source: RNAcentral